UGCCUACGGGAGGCUGCAGUGGGGAAUCUUGCGCAAUGGGCGAAAGCCUGACGCAGCCAUGCCGCGUGAAUGAUGAAGGUCUUAGGAUUGUAAAAUUCUUUCACCGGGGACGAUAAUGACGGUACCCGGAGAAGAAGCCCCGGCUAACUUCGUGCCAGCAGCCGCGGUAAUACGAAGGGGGCUAGCGUUGCUCGGAAUUACUGGGCGUAAAGGGAGCGUAGGCGGACAUUUAAGUCAGGGGUGACAUCCCGGGGCUCAACCUCGGAAUUGCCUUUGAUACUGGGUGUCUUGAGUAUGAGAGAGGUGUGUGGAACUCCGAGUGUAGAGGUGAAAUUCGUAGAUAUUCGGAAGAACACCAGUGGCGAAGGCGACACACUGGCUCAUUACUGACGCUGAGGCUCGAAAGCGUGGGGAGCAAACAGGAUUAGAUACCCUUGUAGUCC
This 443-nucleotide ribosomal RNA is filed under the name uncultured Caulobacteraceae bacterium. Its description in RNAcentral is "bacterial SSU rRNA". It matches the Rfam family "Bacterial small subunit ribosomal RNA", at positions 335 to 796 of the family's 1533-position model. Lineage: Bacteria; Pseudomonadati; Pseudomonadota; Alphaproteobacteria; Caulobacterales; Caulobacteraceae. The record is from RNAcentral.